RNAcentral lists this ribosomal RNA (468 nucleotides) under uncultured bacterium. RNAcentral describes it as "partial 16S ribosomal RNA". It matches the Rfam family "Bacterial small subunit ribosomal RNA", at positions 28 to 507 of the family's 1533-position model. The record is from RNAcentral.
GAUGAACGCUGGCGGCGUGCCUAACACAUGCAAGUCGAACGGAAAGGCCAUGCUUUUGUGGGGUGCUCGAGUGGCGAACGGGUGAGUAACACGUGAGUAUCAUGUACCUGUCAUAGGGAUAAAUUCAGGAAACAGGGGAUAUUAUAGGAUAGGAGCUAUUGAAGCAUGGUGGGGGAUGGAAAGAUUCGGCGGUUGGGGAUGGACUGGCGGCUUAUCCGCUUGAUGGUGGGGUAGUGGAUUACCAAGGCUUUGAAGGGUAGCCGGCCUGGGCGGGUGGCCAGCCACAUGAGUACUGAGGUACGGCCCAGACUCCUACGGUACGCAACGGUGGAGAGUAUUGCACAACGAGCCGGCGCCAGAUGCAACGGCGCCGCGUUCGUAAUACCCUCCUUCUGGGUGAAAACCACUUUCUCAUUUAACGAGGCGUGAGUGACGGUAAUUGGUAAGGAAGCACCGGCUAACUACGUG